GUGAACGCUGGCGGUAGGCCUAACCCAUGCAAGUCGAACGGCAGCACCGUAAGCGCUUGCUCUUACGGGUGGCGAGUGGCGGUCGGGUGAGGAAUACAUCGGAAUCUACUUUUUCGUGGGGGAUAACGUAGGGAAACUUACGCUAAUACCGCAUACGACCUACGGGUGAAAGCAGGGGAUCUUCGGACCUUGCGCGAUUGAAUGAGCCGAUGUCGGAUUAGCUAGUUGGCGGGGUAAAGGCCCACCAAGGCGACGAUCCGUAGCUGGUCUGAGAGGAUGAUCAGCCACACUGGAACUGAGACACGGUCCAGACUCCUACGGGAGGCAGCAGUGGGGAAUAUUGGACAAUGGGCGCAAGCCUGAUCCAGCCAUACCGCGUGGGUGAAGAAGGCCUUCGGGUUGUAAAGCCCUUUUGUUGGGAAAGAAAAGCAGCAGGUUAAUACCCCGCUGUUCUGACGGUACCCAAAGAAUAAGCACCGGCUAACUUCGUG
This 491-nucleotide ribosomal RNA is filed under the name uncultured bacterium. Its description in RNAcentral is "partial 16S ribosomal RNA". It matches the Rfam family "Bacterial small subunit ribosomal RNA", at positions 29 to 507 of the family's 1533-position model. The record is from RNAcentral.